GUCCACGCUGUAAACGAUGAAUACUAGGUGUUGGGGGCGAAGCCCUCAGUGCCGCAGUUAACACAUUAAGUAUUCCGCCUGGGGAGUACGAUCGCAAGAUUAAAACUCAAAGGAAUUGACGGGGGCCCCGCACAAGCAGCGGAGCAUGUGGUUUAAUUCGAAGCAACGCGAAGAACCUUACCAAGGCUUGACAUCUACAGAAUCCUAAAGAGAUUUGGGAGUGCCUUUCGGGGAACUGUAAGACAGGUGGUGCAUGGUUGUCGU
This 264-nucleotide ribosomal RNA is filed under the name uncultured bacterium. RNAcentral's name for it is "partial 16S ribosomal RNA". It matches the Rfam family "Bacterial small subunit ribosomal RNA", at positions 793 to 1055 of the family's 1533-position model. The record is from RNAcentral.